GACGAACCGUGCGAACGUUAUUCGGAAUCACUGGGCUUAAAGCGCGUGUAGGCGGCCCGGCACGUCCGUCGCUGAAAGCCCCCGGCUCAACCGGGGAAGGGGCGCGGAUACGACCGGGCUGGAGGGGGGUAGGGGGCGCCGGAACUGCCGGUGGAGCGGUGAAAUGCGUUGAGAUCGGCAGGAACGCCCGUGGCGAAAGCGGGCGCCUGGACCCCACCUGACGCUGAGACGCGAAAGCCAGGGGAGCGAACGGG
RNAcentral lists this ribosomal RNA (254 nucleotides) under uncultured bacterium. RNAcentral describes it as "partial 16S ribosomal RNA". It matches the Rfam family "Bacterial small subunit ribosomal RNA", at positions 524 to 776 of the family's 1533-position model. The record is from RNAcentral.